RNAcentral lists this long non-coding RNA (890 nucleotides) under Marmota monax (woodchuck). Lineage: Eukaryota; Metazoa; Chordata; Mammalia; Rodentia; Sciuridae. The record is from RNAcentral.
CAAACAUUUCCAGCAAACAUCUUUGUCCUAAUGUGGAGGAAAAUAAAGAUGGGACUGGACUUAAUUUAAACUAUAAGGAAGUUUAAUCACAUGGGCUAGAGUACAUAGUGAAUCUGAACAUCAAAAGCCAUGUGAGAAACCUGGUACAUUAAAAAAAAAAAAUUAGUUAUCAAUGGACUUUUAUUUUACUUAUUGUGAUAUGUGGAUCUGAGGAUCGAACCCAGUGCCUCAACAUGCUAGGCAAGCACUCUGUUACCAAGCCGAAACCCCAGCCCUAACUUGAUACCAUUUUAAUAACCUGUUUUACAUAGACAUUAACCAGUAGCCUUAAUACUUUUUCAAUAUCUGUUUGGAUUGAAUUAAUAACCCAGAAAUCAGUGAAGCAAAGAAUCUAAUUUUAUCUCCAACUGUGGUUUCAGAUAUCACAGUGUGUGAGUUAAGAUUCCCCUUUGAAGAACUUAACUUUGUGUUGUGUUCUCAUUCCAACCUCCCAUAUUUGCCCAGUCCUUAGUUUUAGAACAGUCUGACAUAAGGUGUCCACAGAUAUCAAUGUCUCUUAGCUUAUGUAGGAAAUAUCAUUAUCUGAGUCUUGUUUUCUAGAGAUCAGUUUGAACUAUAAGUGUGUAGCAUCUAAGGGGAGUAGUUGGAUGCUGUGAAGCUGGAAGGAAUCUUUUGAUGUUCCUUUCAUCUAAAAGGAUGUUUUUUGGGGGGUGCAUAAUAGGAAUUAAACUCAGAGACACUCCACUACUUAACCUCAUCCCCAGCCCUAUUUUACAUUUUCUUUGGAAAGAGUUGCUUAGUGUCUUACCAUUGCUGAGGCUGCUUUGAACUCUCCAUCCUCUGCCUCAAACUCCAAAGCCCCUGGGAUUAGAGGCAUUUCCCACCAUGCC